AUUGAACGCUGGCGGCAGGCCUAACACAUGCAAGUCGAACGAGCGGCGGACGGGUGAGUAAUGUAUGGGCAACUGCCUGAUGGAGGGGGAUAACUCCUGGAAACGGUAGCUAAUACCGCAUACCAUCAGAUGAACCCAUAUGGGAUUAGCUGGUUGGUGGGGUAACGGCUCACCAAGGCGACGAUCCCUAGCUGGUCUGAGAGGAUGACCAGCAACAGUGGAAAGGAGACACGGCCCAGACUCCUACGGGAGGCGGCAGUGGGGAAUAUUGCACAAUGGGCGCAAGCCUGAUGCAGCAAUGCAGCGUGUAUGAAGAAGGCCUUCGGGUUGUAAAGUACUUGCAGAGGGGAGGCGGUACCCGCAGAAGAAGCACCGGCUAACUCCGUGCCAGCAGCCGCGGUAAUAC
Molecule: ribosomal RNA, 406 nt
Filed under: uncultured bacterium
Lineage: Bacteria
Description: partial 16S ribosomal RNA
Rfam family: Bacterial small subunit ribosomal RNA
Source: RNAcentral